AUGAAGGCGGUGGCAAACCAACCAGUGUCUAUAGCUGUGGACAGAGGCGACAUGACAUUCCAAUUCUACUCUGGCGGGGUGAUGACCGGCUCCUGCGGUACUGACUUGGACCAUGGAAUUGCAGCCAUUGGAUAUGGAAAGACUAGUGAUGGCACAAGUUAUUGGUUGAUGAAGAAUUCAUGGGGCACAACUUGGGGCGAGAAUGGGUACUUGAGAAUGGAGAAGGACAUUGCAGACAAGAAGGGCAUGUGUGGUCUUGCCAUGGAGCCUUCAUACCCCACCAAAUAG
Molecule: ribosomal RNA, 288 nt
Filed under: Triticum aestivum (bread wheat)
Lineage: Eukaryota; Viridiplantae; Streptophyta; Magnoliopsida; Poales; Poaceae
Description: partial small subunit ribosomal RNA
Source: RNAcentral